GGGUUGAUGAUGAGAUCUUAUCUUGUCUUGAAGAAAGAAGAUCACCUAAAAAUCAUGUUCAAUAAGAUUAUGCUAGACCC
This is a small nucleolar RNA of Equus asinus (donkey), 80 nucleotides long. Its record names the gene SNORD115. It matches the Rfam family "Small nucleolar RNA SNORD115". Rfam says of the family: HBII-52 is a member of the C/D class of snoRNAs, which contain the C (UGAUGA) and D (CUGA) box motifs. HBII-52 is encoded in a tandemly repeated array with another C/D snoRNA, HBII-85, in the Prader-Willi syndrome (PWS) region of chromosome 15. The record is from Ensembl. NCBI's taxonomy places the organism in Eukaryota, Metazoa, Chordata, Mammalia, Perissodactyla, Equidae.